UGUGGCAUCCCGAAAAUUCAAAGCCAAGCCUUAAGAUUAGCACUAUGCCGCUACCUGCUGUUUCGCGUGGGGUAUUUUACGGUCUACCGUCUGAUGUUGAGGUGGAGUGUACGGAGAUAGAUUGUCCCUCUGUGCCCGGAUUGACGUUUAUCCGAGUGCGAUGCUUAGUUAUGUAUGAUAUCGGCCUGGCUGGGGGCCCUGUCAUACAAGAGUUCCUGUCUGUGCACGUUCGACGGGAUGGAGCGAUGCGAGGGAUGCUGCCGCCGCCACCACCUGACACACCGGGUUGGGUGUGAGACCUGCGCGCAAGGAGUAAGAGCUAGAUCACUUUUUGAUGUAGAUAGUUGACGCUGGUGAUGGGAGGGUUUGUGUUCAUGUGAUGUUAAGGGUCGGAGUCCCUUUUUGAGAUUUUAGGUAGGACAUGGCAGAGUCCUAACCUUUCUGGUUUGUGUACCGACCCGAAGGAAAACCCCAUCUCGCUAUAUGUAUGUAUGUAAGCAAAGCGUCAACGUUAUUUAUAAAAUCAUGAUGUUUAGCUGGUGUGUAUUUGUA
Molecule: long non-coding RNA, 552 nt
Organism: Eucalyptus grandis
Lineage: Eukaryota; Viridiplantae; Streptophyta; Magnoliopsida; Myrtales; Myrtaceae
Exons: 2
Source: RefSeq, a predicted model, not a curated record